GAAAACAGAGAGGUCCCUUUUUCAGUCAUUGUUCGUCCUUUCUCCCCCUAUCUCUCUCUCUCUCUCUCUCUCAGCGGCAGUAGUUUUUCUCUCCCUCUUUCUCGGUCUCCGUUUCUACAAAAGGAUUGAUUCUAUCCCUACGAUUAAGGUAAGGUUGUCUCUUCGUCUUUUUUCUUUUUUUUUUUUCGUUCUUCUAGAUUUUUCUCUAUUGUUUUUUUUUAAUUAAUUUUCUGUUGUUUAUUUGGUUCUGUGAGAGAGCAAUUACCACGUUUGAUUUUAUUAGAUCGUCGAAAAUUAUUAUUUAUUUAUUUACUAAUCAAAUCUGAUGAGAAGUUAAAUGAAAUGGAAUUCUAAUUUAUUAAUUUAAAUGAAAUUUUUGCAUAUUACGGCUUCUAAAUGCUGAAUUAUGUGAAUGAAUGGAGAAAGUGAGUGUUUUUUGAAGUGAAUUUUCAAUGAUUCAUUGACUAGUUAAUUUUAUAGAAUAAAAUUGAAGCUCAAGAUUUAUGUUUUAAUCGGUAGCUAUGUGUUUUUGGCAGUUUUUACAGAUAAAUGAUGGUAUUAGAUGCUGUUUUUGGGUAUAUGGGGGUGUGCUUUAGAGAAAUCUUGACUUACAACGAAUAUUCUUUGCUGUUUUAUCAGCAAUGAGUGGUGAUGAAUUAACAUGUUUAGUUCUUGUUUUUAUCUUUAUUUGGAUCAUAAAUGAGGCCGAGUGAUAAUAUAAUAUCUUUAGGCUUACUCAAGUGCAUAUAAGUAUAGUAAAUUGUCAACUCAUCAUUCUUCAGUUUAGCCAAUUGUUGAGACCACGUUAUAUAGACAUGUUGCUUCUUUGAUCGAGUCAGUGAUAUUUUCUCUUUGAUAAAGUCAUAAAUAUUUUUCCUAUGACAAGUCAGAGAUGUUUUCCUCUCGAGAUAUUUUUCUUUUUUGACACGUUAGAGGAUUGAAUAUUAUCAGCAAAAAAGUACCUUUUAGUCCUUCCCUCGAUAUAUAUAAAUAAAAAAAGUAAGAAGAAUGGGCUAUAAAAACUUGUUGGAUCCUCAGAAAGCCUAACUCUCAAUUUCUAUUCUUCAUGACAUAUUUAUUUUCAAGAGUUUUUCUUUAAAAUAUUAUUGUAUUUGCUCAAAAAAUAAAUAAAUUACUUAAGCAUUAGAGAGUUUUAAAAUUUAUAAAACGAGACCUUUUAUAGGUAUUAAAUACCAACCAUUAGCCAUCUUGACAAUGAAAAAUGAAUCAGAUUGCUAAAACUAAAAAAUUAAUUGAUUAUCCAACAUAUAUGUGUCUUGUUAUCCAGCUACUUGGAUUUUUAGGGAUAUCAUCAAUGGUGUUAUCUAUGGAAACCUCAUAAAAAAGUUAUCAAAGGUGGAUAAUCAAAACACUCCUAGAAUGAAAUAUGUCACGAAUCUUCAUAUAGUUGUUAGCACAUAUACUCCAUGAAAGCUUUAACAACUAUUCAAUAAGUAAGAAAUGCUAUGCAGCAAAUUAAUGAGACGAGCAAGUUUAGGCUAAGCAUUUACCAUCUUCACAAAUGCAGUUAGAGCCUCAAGGUUCUGUAUAGUUUUUAACAAGUAUAAGUGGGAUGUUGGUUCAAAUCGUAAAAAAGUAUGAACUUCGUAUGUCAACUACUCAUAAGACAUCUACUAGAGAAAUUAUAUUCUCUCCUUUAUUUGUAUAGUUGAGGCCAUGAUCUCAACAAAAAUAUUAUCAAGAUUAUUAUACCUCAAGUUUUUUAUAUAUAAAUUAAAUUAUUCAUAAUAAUGAUGCAUUCUUUUCUCUAGAUGAUAUCCAGGGCAACAAUCUUCCAACUUUUUGAAUAGAAUAAACUCAAUUUUUUUUAAUGUGAUUGUACAUUUUACCUUCAAAGAAAUCAACCUGAUCUUCCUACUGCGAUUUCAUAAUAAUGUCUGAAAUAGAAACUAACUACUGAAUCAAUCCGGCAGUUCAAACGAGAGAGAAAGUGGGAUGAACUGACCUGUGAGAGAGGCUGAACUUGCCCAUCUUGUAAGGAGAAAACAGAGAGAUCCCUUUUUCAGCCAUUAUUCUUGCUGUCACUUCCUUUCUCUUCUUGCUGUCACUUCCUUUCUCCAACUAUCUUUCUCUCUCUUUAAUCCAUCUAACAGCAUCUCUGUCAGCGGCAAUAGUUUUUCUCUCCCUCGUUCUCGGUCUCGGUUUCUGCAAAUCCCUAUGAUUAAGG
Molecule: long non-coding RNA, 2188 nt
Filed under: Populus tremula
Lineage: Eukaryota; Viridiplantae; Streptophyta; Magnoliopsida; Malpighiales; Salicaceae
Description: long non-coding RNA (PTRE_LNC002267)
Source: RNAcentral